UACGUAGGGACCGAGCGUUGUCCGGAAUUACUGGGCGUAAAGCGUGCGUAGUCGGUAUUGAGAGUCGCGGGUGAAAUCCCAGGGCUUAACCCUGGAACUGCCUGCGAGACCUCAGUACUAGAGUGUGAGAGGGGAUAGUGGAAUACCAAGUGUAGCGGUGAAAUGCGUAGAGAUUUGGUGGAACACCGGUGGCGAAGGCGGCUAUCUGGCUCACAACUGACGAUCAGGCACGAAAGCGUGGGGAGCCAAACAGG
RNAcentral lists this ribosomal RNA (254 nucleotides) under uncultured bacterium. Its description in RNAcentral is "partial 16S ribosomal RNA". It matches the Rfam family "Bacterial small subunit ribosomal RNA", at positions 524 to 776 of the family's 1533-position model. The record is from RNAcentral.